This 1463-nucleotide ribosomal RNA is filed under the name metagenome. Its description in RNAcentral is "bacterial SSU rRNA". It matches the Rfam family "Bacterial small subunit ribosomal RNA". The record is from RNAcentral.
AACGAGAAAUCCUGACUUCGGUCGGAAGAGUAAAGUGGCGCACGGGUGAGUAACGCGUGGGUAACCUGCCCUCAAAUCUGGAAUAACUUCGCGAAAGCGUUGCUAAUACCGGAUAUCGUCCUUAAAGCUUCGGCCUUUUGGAUGAAAGAUGACCUCUUCAUGAAAGUUGUCGUUUGGGGAGGGGCUCGCGUACCAUUAGCUUGUUGGUGGGGUAAUGGCCUACCAAGGCGACGAUGGUUAGCUGGUCUGAGAGGAUGAUCAGCCACACUGGAACUGGAACACGGUCCAGACUCCUACGGGAGGCAGCAGUGAAAUUUUGCGCAAUGGGGGAAACCCUGACGCAGCAACGCCGCGUGAGUGAAGAAGGCUUUCGGGUCGUAAAGCUCUGUCAAGUGGAAAAAAAGUUCCACGGUAAAUAAUCGUGGGAUCUGAUGGUACCACUGGAGGAAGCACCGGCUAACUCCGUGCCAGCAGCCGCGGUAAUACGGAGGGUGCAAGCGUUGAUCGGAAUUACUGGGCGUAAAGAGCGUGUAGGCGGUAUGGUAAGUCAGAUGUGAAAGCCCUGGGCUUAACCCAGGAAGUGCAUUUGAUACUGCCAUUCUUGAGUAUGGGAGAGGAGAGUGGAAUUCCCAGUGUAGAGGUGAAAUUCGUAGAUAUUGGGAGGAACACCCGUGGCGAAGGCGACUCUCUGGACCAAUACUGACGCUGAGACGCGAAAGCGUGGGGAGCAAACAGGAUUAGAUACCCUGGUAGUCCACGCCGUAAACGAUGAGAACUAGGUGUAGCGGGUAUUGACCCCUGCUGUGCCGAAGUUAACGCAUUAAGUUCUCCGCCUGAGGAGUACGGCCGCAAGGCUAAAACUCAAAGGAAUUGACGGGGACCCGCACAAGCGGUGGAGCAUGUGGUUUAAUUCGACGCAACGCGAAGAACCUUACCUGGAUUUGACAUCCUCUGCUAACCCCAGAAACGGGGUCUUUCCGACUUGUCGGAACAGAGUGACAGGUGCUGCAUGGCUGUCGUCAGCUCGUGUCGUGAGAUGUUGGGUUAAGUCCCGCAACGAGCGCAACCCUUGUUUUUAGUUGCCAGUAUUAAGUUAGGCACUCUAAAGAUACUGCCUCGGUUAACGGGGAGGAAGGUGGGGAUGACGUCAAGUCCUCAUGGCCUUUAUAUCCAGGGCUACACACGUGCUACAAUGGGCUGUACAAAGGGUUGCAACACCGCGAGGUGAAGCUAAUCUCAAAAAGCAGUUCUCAGUUCGGAUUGAAGUCUGCAACUCGACUUCAUGAAGGUGGAAUCGCUAGUAAUCGUGGAUCAGCAUGCCACGGUGAAUACGUUCCCGGGUCUUGUACACACCGCCCGUCACACCACGAAAGUCGGCUGUACCAGAAGUUGCUGGGCUAACCCUUCGGGGAGGCAGGUACCUAAGGUACGGUCGGUAAUUGGGGUGAAGUCGAAACAAGGUA